RNAcentral lists this long non-coding RNA (16298 nucleotides) under Zea mays. Its description in RNAcentral is "long non-coding RNA (ZMAY_LNC003755)". The record is from RNAcentral. Lineage: Eukaryota; Viridiplantae; Streptophyta; Magnoliopsida; Poales; Poaceae.
GCUCGUCGUGGCCGUUGGCUGGACUUGUUCCUUGCCCUGGGGCCAAGGGUAUAAGUUGGAGGCCCUCGUGACUCUCCCCCUUGGCCUAAGUCAGCGUCCAUGCCUCCACCAGAUAGGGAGAAACAACAGAGAGGGAGAAAAGGGAAUCCACGCCGCCCCCGCCAAAUCUCAUCCACAUCAUCGGUCGGAGUCAAGCUGGUGACUAGGGCGCUUUGUCGACGCUCGGGGAUGACGUAAAUCGCAUCUUGAUGGGAGAAUUCGGGCCAUGGACUACGGAAUUUCUCGCCGAAGACUUGGGUUGCCGCAGAUCCGCUUUGCGUCAUGGUCGGGAGUGCCUGCUACAUGAUAGACAGUAAGCAACCCUCUUCGUAGUUUUGCUUCAUUCCUGCUUUGUUUAGCUCGGGUAAGCAUAGAAUACGGGUCAUUGGGGGACUGGAUCCCCUGGCUCCGGUGGGUGCGCAGUCGGAAGGCUCGCGCGGGCCACUACGGCUUGGAGCUGAGGAGGAAGAAGAGGGGACCGUUGAUCUUGGAACGGACGCUGCAGAUUAGAUGGGAGAAUACCCGUUCGAUGAAGGGAUCUGAGUCGUGUAGAUGGGAUUGGGCGGUUUAGAUUAGAUCACGACACAUUAAAUCGGCACCGUGAGUUCUUGAUCCUGUGGAUGCCGGUUGAGUACCGGUUCAUUAAAAGAUUAAUCUAAUAUGGGCACUCGAUUGGUGAUCCAAUGGCUCAAAUGAGCCUGUGCUCCUUCGACUGCGAUAAAGUGCAAAUGAGCCCCUCGGUUUUCAAAGAAACAACCCGCCAUCCCUUGUCGUGUUAAGUAAUUGGGUAUAGGCCCCUAGAAUUUACAAAUUGAUCCCCGUAGCUAGUAAAACUAGUAUAAAGUGAUCCUAAAUCUUAUUUAAUGCAUAUCUUCCACGUUUUAACUCCGAUUUAACCCAUUCAAGUUGCAUUAUGUUUGUUAUAAUGUAUUCUACCCUUGGUAAACCUUAUUUUACUAUUUAACAUGUCUGCAAAAAAUUGAUUUGCCCCAUGUUUACGAGAUUAGCUUGUCUAAAGCAAAGCUAAAAUAUUUCAUCUAGCGUUUGAUUAAAGUAUAACCUCUAGACAAGUUAUAACCUAUAUUAAGGAUAAAUUAGUUAUUUAUUUGUCAUAACCUAUGGCGGAACUGCCCAGAUUAUUCUAGAUUAAGUGCCCGAGUCACGUCUUGGACGCAGCAACACACUUAAAUCAGAAUAACCCGUCAGUCCCUCGGAUCUACUCCGAUAAAGCCACUUACCAAGGAUCGAAUACCACUAGCUCACACGAUGGUGAGUUGCAGAGAGAAUACAAUAAACAUGAAACCACAAAUUAAUGUACUAGAGUUAUUACAUAAAUCGGAGUUUUAAUAAAAGAUAACAAAUUCUUAAUAAAAUGCAGCGGAUAAUCGAUAACGACGAUACUGAGGAAUAGGGCAAGGCCUAGCCCACAACUUCCCCUAGUCCUCUCCUAUCGAGGCAGCAUCCCACUCGUCCGUCCAACCCGGUGGCAGGGUGGAAGGCCAAGUCACAUCAUCAACCAUAUUCUGUAGCGUACCUGAAAAAAAUAUGCCCCAAGCAAGGCUGUGUAUACUAAUACUAAGCUAGACUUACCCGGUGUGAGGAGUCUACUCCUCUACCUCUAGACCAUGCAGUUGUUUGGCUGAGGGGUUAGUUUGCCAAAAGCACUAGCUGAGUCUACAAAUAAUUUUAGCCUUUUCCAGUUCUAGCAUAUUUAAUUAAGCUAGGUUUGCUCCUUUCUAAGCAUACAUAGUAACAAUCAUUUAGUACAAUCAACAUGUUAUAACAAGUAAAACCACAUUUCACUUUUUACUCGAUGCAGUACAAGGGGUCAAGCAGUCUCAUUAGUUGCGAGAAGCAGACGAUUCAAAUCGAGUUUUAACCUUGCAAGGUAAACCUAAACAUAGAACAUGUAGGGGCACUCCGUCCCACACAUAUCAACCGUCCCUAAUUAGCAAAGCAGCUACUCGACCUAGCAUACUAGUAUCCAUCUCAAAAAUGAAUCCUGAGUUUAUGCAACUAGGGUUUCAGGCAACUCCUACGCUUAAGUGCACAUUACAAACCUAUAACCAUUAAGUGUAGUAAAGUAGCAUAUACAAAUAGUUAUGCAUAAAACCGGGGCUCGCCUUCAAAAGUUGGGGUUGUGGGGAGAUCCUCAGUGGCAGGCUCUUGAGCUGGCUCCUGGACAUCCUCUUGGGCAACUUCUUGCUCGAGGAUGAGCACGUACUCUCCGUUAGCGAGGUUGCAAUCAAAAUGAAUGCAAUGAAUGAGAUAAAUGUAUGCUAUGAUAUGUAAAUUUAAUAAUUAAAAUGCAAGGUGAAGUACUCAAGUUAGCAGGACGGGUCUUAGUUCCACUAUUGAGGAUUUUAGUGGUACUUGGUAUUUAGAAGUAGGUGUGGCCAGUCUAGGAAGUUGGAUUAAUGUUGUACUCAACAAUCCUUCAAUGUCUUUGUGAAGACUUAAUAAGGUUUUUGGCUGGAGUUAUUUAUGGCUUAAUUUAGUACUUCAUUAAUCCUUUCUUUUCCUUUUUCUACUUAGGCUUUUAGAGUGGCUUUGAACUACAAUACUGAUUUAAAAAUUCACAAAAAUUCUGUAAAAAAUACAGUGGCUUCUCAUUGGUUUAUAUAAUUCAGUCUAAAAAAUUGAGGCUUAAAAUGAGAAUGGUUUUCUCUACACAAAAAUAUUAAAAUUUAGGGCAGAGGGGGUGCUUUGAACUACAACUCUCUUCUAGGAGUGGAUUUUACCCUAGGGUUUAUUUUUGCUGGUAUCUAGGUGUAAUAAUAUGACUUUAUGCCAAAUUUUAGUCAAAGAUACUUACUGGUUGAUUUUCUAAAGUUUGGGGGCUUAGUGGUGCUUUCCACUACUAUUUUUGAAAAAUGUCAAACAACAGAUUUCCUAAUUUUUCUAUCUUCUUCUUUGCGCAAGAGCAAUCAUUCUUAAAGUUGGUUAAUUUUUCUUAAUAGGGAAUGGGUUGUAAGAUUUCUUGGAAUAUAUGGUCUUUUUCAUGUGGCAGGGGGUGAGGUGUAUUCCAUUACAUUUUUACCUUAGUAUUAUAUUUUCUCUUGUAGUAUACAACAUAAGUACUUAGGUAAAAACAAGGGUUGCUCACUGUUUCCCAUUUUUAGUCUUUCUUUUGAUUUAUUUGAAGUAUUGGAAAAAUCCAAGUUUUAUUUGUCUAACUCGCUUACUAUGAUGGUUUGGGGUGGUUACAAUUUUUGCUGUGGUACAUUAGUGGUCAAGGGUCUACUAAAUUUUUCUUGCCAUUAUUGCAUGUGUCCUUAUAUUUUUAAUCAUGGUCUUUAUUAACUUAUUAACACCUAAAUAAAAUUAUAAACUCAGAUUAGUACUGGACUAGGGUUCCAUAUAUUUUUCCUAUGAACUACAUCACUUAGGCAUACUAGGAAAAAUGUGGUCACCCUCUGGUUUCUAUUUUCUAUCCCCUUUUCAUUUUCCUAAAGUUUGGGCAGAAAUAGGCUUUAAUGGAUAUAUCUGGUUUAGCCUUGUAUACUGUGGUGUUUAUUAUUUUUAAACAGUGUAACUACUAGGUGAGUGUCUCCACAAUUUUUCUCAAACCUAGUCUAGAAGCAUUUCUAUUUUUCUCUGCAUUAUUAAGAUUUGGGCAGUUUUAUAAUUUAAUUCAAAACUCUAAAAAUAGUACAGAAAACAUGGGGUUUACUAUUUUUGCUUGAUAGUUCAUAUUUUACAGAGUCCAGCAAAAUUAAUUUGACCAAAUUUGGAUGAAUACUCCUUAAGUUAUGCAUUUAUCAAGUUUGCUGCAGAUUUAAUAACUGAGAAAUUCAAAAAGGAAAAAGAAAAUCAUCUUUGCGCUGAAGUCCCUGGUUCUAUUUUACCCUUUCUCUCACAGGUUAGCCCUCGGUAUACUAUUCAUGUGAGUCGCUGACAUUACAGAAAACCCCCUAGGGUUAACCUAAAUCUAACCUGUGCUCCUAACCUUACUGGAACAGUAACUGCGACAGAGGAAAGGGUGGCGGGGCUUACUGGCGGCGAUCUAGCUUCGGUGAAGGGUCCACAGAGGUCGGGGAGGUCACGGCGGUCACGUCGAUGGUCGGCUCGUCGCUGGCGGUGGUCGGAGUCGGUCGAACCUAGUGCGCAGACGGGGGAGCUCGUCGGCGGCGAGUGUUCAGGCCUAACCACAACGGUAGGAUUCGAUUAAACCAUGCAGCGAGCUUCACUAGGUGUCAGGGAAGACAUGGGCGCGAGUAUUCGAACUAUGGCUUACCGGUUAGUCGUGGCCACGCGCGCCGGCAGAGGAAACAACUCCGGCGAGGGUGGAACGGCAUAUCUGGUGAGGUAGCGUUCAGUUUCUUGCUUCAGGGAGCAUUACGGGGCUCUGGGGAAGCUAGCCGAGGCUCUGGAUCGAUUGGAGGUUGCCGGGAAAAGGUCUAGCCACGGUGGCCGAGCUCUAGCGGUGGUGGCGGGUCACGGGUAGGUCGUCGGAGCUAUAGGCUGGCUUUGGGGAGUUGGGCACGCUGCAGAGGGAGUACGGCCGAGGCCGUGCUGCUCUUAUAGGCGUGGCGCGGUGCACAGUCGAGCGUGGAACGGUGAGGGCGCACGGGCGAACGUGACUCGGCGCGGGCGCGCGGGCGCGCGGGCAGGCGUGCACCGGCGCGUCGGCCGCGGUCGAGCACGUGGCACAUUACUUUUGUUCCUGUUCCAACGCCCAUAGGCUCCAAAUCUUCGCGAAUUUGGGAAAGAUCAUAUUGUAAGAUAUGUUCCCUGGGGUAUGCUUCGUCGUUUUUGUGUGGGAUCCGAGAGGUUUUCGGCCGUGUACAGAGAGUUGUCGCGUAGUCAAAUCGUUAGUGUCUGGCUGCUGCAUCCCGAGGCAAAUCGAUGCCAAGAUCAUGUCAAAGGGCUGGGGUUUGUCCCAAAUUUUGCCAGGGCGUGCCUAAGGUAAUUUGGCGCCAAUUUGUUAUUUGGACCUCACAUAUUUGAGCCUUGGAACUAGGUGAACACGGUUGAUUUUGAUGAGAAGGUUAGAUUUCAGAAUUAUGAAUUUCUGAUUUUCCUUUGAAGUCUCCACUUAAGUGGUUGUUUUGAGAAUUUUGCAAAAACCCUUUUGAUUAAACUUCCUUACUAUAUUUUGUAGCUUAUUUAGUGUACUACAACUUUUUUAAUUGGUCCAAAUCAUGGUUUUAUGUUUUCAUAGCCUUUUCACUAAAUUUCUUGGUGGUACUUAAAAAGGCUUAAUAGGGUAGUUUUAGGGUUUGAGAAUUUUGCUCACUUUGGGGUGCAUGAUGUGGUUAGGGUAUGAUUCUUGGGAUGAAAAGACUUGAUUUAGUUUUAGCAUUUCAAGUUUGGUGUCUUUUGCUCAACUUAAUUCACAUGUGAUAAUGUUCACAAAUAUGGGUGUGUAGGGAAAAUCCUAAGUAACACCUAGGGUGUUACAGCCCUCCCCCUUAAAAGAAUCUUGCCCUGAGAUUCGGGUCGGGGUCCUCUAGGGGUGAGGAAAAAGGUUACAACUUGCUUUCAUGGUAUUGGUUUGCUUAUAAGGUUCUUUAGAUAAUCUGCUCUUCGAAUGUCAUCCUCUUUGCAACUUCAAAAGGAAGCCCUUUUUGUUCUAGUUUUAUAGCUUAACUUGGUUUAUGUUAAGAUCAUAUUUCUUAUAUUUGGAUUCAGAGAGCAGGGGUCUGGGGUAUGUGAAAGUCGCCUAGAGGGGGGUGAAUAGGCGGAAUCUGAUUCUUACAACUUUAAACACACACUACAAGCCGGGGUUAGCAUUAGAACAAAUAUCAAGUCCGGGAGAGAGGGGAAAAACAAAUCAACCAAGAAAUAGAGCAGAUGAACACGGUGAUUUGUUUUACCGAGGUUCGGUUCUAAAGAACCUAGUCCCCAUUGAGGUGAUCACAAAGACCGGGUCUCUUUCAACCAUUUCCCUCUCUCAAACGGUCACCUAGACCGAGUGAGCUUUCUCCUUAAUCAAAUAUGUCACUUAGACCCCGCAAGGACCACCACACACUUGGUGUCUCUUGCUUUGAUUACAAGUCACUUGAGAACAAGAAUGAGGAACGAACAAAGCGAUCCAAGAAGCAAGAGCGCAAAGAACACGAACAAAACACUCUCUCUAGUCACUAGGUGUUUGGAAUGAAUUUGGGACUUGGAGAGGCUUUGAUUCUUUUGAAUUAUGUCUAGGAGUGAAUGCACUAGCUCUUGUAUUAAAUGUGAAGUGCUAGAAACUUGGAUGCUUGGAGUGGUGGUAGUUGGGGGCUAUUUAUAGCCCUCAACCACCACAUAGCCGUUGGGGAUGGCUAUUGUCGAUGGGCGCACCGGACAGUCCGGUGCGCUAGCCACAUCACCCAACCAUUAGGGUUCGGGAGCUUCUGACCGUUGGAGGCUUUGUCUUAUAGUAGCACCGGACAGUCCAGUGCCGCACCGGACAGUCCAGUGCCGCACCGGACAAGCACUGUUCACUGUCCGGUGCGCCUCUGACAGGCGGCUCUGACUCUGCUUGCACUAUUCUUCACUGUUCAUCUGAUUCUUCAGCUUUUGCAGUCGACCGUUGCGCAAAGGAGUCGUUGUUCCGAUGGUGCACUGGACAGUCCGAUGGCACAUCGGACAGUCUGGUGAAUUAUAGCGGAGAGCGUUCUGAGAAACCCGAGAGUGGAGAGUUGGACGUUGUACGGUCUUGGUGCACCGGACACUGUCCGGUGCGCCAGACCAGGUCAUACUCGAUUUUUUUGCUCCUUUGAAUUUGAUCCCUAACUUCAAUCUUUUAUUGGUUUGUGUUGAACCUUUAUGCACCUAUAGAAUAUAUAAUCUAGAGCAAACUAGUUAGUCCAAUAUUUGUGUUGGGCAUCCAACCACCAAAAUUAUUUAUAGGAAAAGGUUAAACCCUAUUUCCCUUUCAGUAUGGUUACGUACCGACUUCCUUAGCUAGACAAUCGGGGUAGUUUGUGCACAGAAAAUCCUCAGUCUCCCAUGUAGCCUCUUCCUCUGAAUGGUUGCUCCAUUGGAUUUUAUACAUCUUGAUCGUUCUUGCACGAAUUGAUCUUUCCUUGCAAUCCAGAACCUUGGAGGGGUGUUCUUGGUAUGAUAGAUCUGGCUCUAUCUCCACAUCUGGCUCGUUUAUGACAUCUGUUAGUAACCGAACACACUUCUUCAAUUAGGGUACAUGGAUCACAUUAUGGAUGGUAGACAUCUUUGGAGGUAGCUUCAAUUUGUAUGCCACUGGUCCACAUGCUUUUAUGAUUUCAUAAGGUCCAACGUAGCGAGGGGCUAACUUGCCUUUGAUCCAAACCUUUGCACUCCUUUUGUGGGCGAUACUUUCAGAUAUAUGAUAUCUCCCACUUCAAACUGGAGGGGUUUCCUCCUCUUAUCGUGGUAACUCUUUGCCUGGCCUGAGCAGCUUCUAGGUUCUUUCUGAUCAUUUUGACUUUUCUUUUGGCUUCUAACACCAGGUCGAGCCCAAAGAUUUCUCUCUUGUAGGGCUGUGACCAGUUGAGGGGUGUUCGACACCUCCUUCCAUACAAGGCUUCAAAAGGUGCCAUCUUCAGACUAGAUUGAUAACUGUUGUUAUAAGCAAACUCAGCCAAAGAGAGGCAUUUAUCCUAGUUCUUGUCGUAUUCGAUUGCAUAAGCCCUUAGCAUAUCUUCAAGAAUCUGAUUUACCCUUUCGGUCUAACCAUCAGUUUGAGGGUGGUAAGCUGAACUUCUUACCAGCUUGGUUCCCAAGUACUUGCAAUUGCUCCCAAAAUCUGGCUACGAAUUGGGCUCCUCGGUCAGAGACAAUUGUCUGGGCAAUCCAUGCAAACACACAAUUCGGUCAAUGUACAACUCUGCAUACUUAUGAGCCUUAUCGGUGGUGUGCACUAGAAGAAAAUGAGCCACUUUCGUUAAUCGGUCCAUAAUGACCCAGAUUGAAUCAUGAUGUUGAGAGGUGUUGGGCAGACCCACAAUGAAAUCCAUGCUGAUGUCACCCCAUUUCCAUGAAGGUAUCGAUAGGGGUUGCAAGGCACCAGCUGACUUUAAGUGGCUUUCCUUUAUCCUCUAAUAGGUUUCACAUUAUGAUACAUACUUGGCUAUUUCCCAUUUCGUCCUGGUCCACCAAUACAGGGGUUUCAGAUCAUGGUACAUGAUGAGGACAUCCUCCACUAUUACCCGUUGGCAAAGACGCAAUUGGCCCAGUUGGCCCAAUUGUAGUCGGACGGUGACCGUGUGAGCCUCAGAAUUAUCCCACCUCGCUUAACUUGGGAGGAGGAAGCCACUUUAAAAAGGGAGAGCCACCCUUCCCCCAUUGGACUAGUCUUUUGGGGCGAUUGGGCCUUUCCCUGAGUUGGGUGUGCUUAAUGAACUGUUGGGCUCCGGGCAACCCUAAUUUGUUGGGCCUCGGCCAACCCCACCUGGGCUGGGUGUAUCAUCUGGUAUCAGAGCUAGGGCCCAUUUUAAGAAGGUGCGAAUGAUGAGGACAUCCUCCACUAUUACCCGUUGGCAAAGACGCAAUUGGCCCAAUUGGCCCAAUUGUAGUCGGACGACGACCGUGUGAGCCUCAGAAUUAUCCCACCUUGCUUAACUUGGGAGGAGGAAGCCACUUUAAGGGUUGAUUUGGUGAUCCGGGAUCCCGGGAGGAUCGGAGGGGAUUGAGGGGGAAAUUAGUUCAUUUCCCCCUCAACCCCCUCUAAUCCUCACGGGAUCCCCUUGUCACCAAAUCAACCCUAAAAGGGAGAGCCACCCUUCCCCCAUUGGGCUAGUCUUUUGGGGCGAUUGGGCCUUUCCCUGAGUUGGGUGUGCUUAAUGAACUGUUGGGCUCCGGGCAACCCCAAUCGCCCCAAAAGACUAGUCCAAUGGGGGAAGGGUGGCUCUCCCUUUUUAAAGUGGCUUCCUCCUCCAAAGUUAAGCGAGGUGGGAUAAUUCUGAGGCUCACACGGUCACUGUCCGACUACAAUUGGGCCAACUGGGCCAAUUGCGUCUUUGCCAACGGGUAAUAGUGGAGGAUGUCCUCAUCAUUCCCACCUUCUGAAAAUGGGCCCUAGCUUUGAUACCAGAUGAUGCACCCAGCCCAGGUGGGGUUGGCCGAGGCCCAACAAAUUAGGGUUGCCCGGAGCCCAACAGUUCAUUAAGCACACCCAACUCAGGGAAAGGCCCAAUCGCUCCAAAAGACUAGCCCAAUGGGGGAAGGGUGGCUCUCCCUUUUAAAGUGGCUUCCUCCUCCCAAGUUAAGCGAGGUGGGAUAAUUCUGAGGCUCACACGGUCGCCGUCUGACUACAAUUGGGCCAACUGGGCCAAUUGCGUCUUUGCCAACGGGUAAUAGUGGAGGAUGUCCUCAUCAGUACAUCUUGGUGCUUCUCGGGUGCAUGGAGAAUUUGGAGAGGCGAGAGCCUCAUCCAAGAGUCUCUUCUUGAGGUCUCUAUUUUUAGGAACCACCAGUCUAUCUUCAAAUAAUAGUAUCCCCUUGCUGUCUUGGCAAAAUCACUUAUACUUAUCCACUUUUUGAUUAAGAUUCUCUUUGAUGAUUUGUACUCCCUUGUCAAAUAAUCUAGUCUAACAAGGUUGGCUCGACGGAGAUGUGAGACAAGGUACCAGAAGGAAUUACUUCAAUCCUCAUCUUACUCAACUCAUCACAUAGGGUAUUGAUGCGACAAUUCAUCACCAUACAAUUGCAUUGUGACUUUCGACUUAGGGCAUCUGCUACCACAUUAGCUUUCCCCAGGUGGUAAUGCACUUCCAAGUCAUAGUCCUUGAUCAAUUCCAGCCAUCUUCUCUGCCUCAUGUUGAGAUCAGCCUGAGUAAAGAUGUACUUGAGGCUCUUGCGAUCUGUAUAGAUGUUGCAGUGAGUCCCCAUCAAGUAAUGCCUCCACAUUUUUAGGGCAUGAACCAUGACUGCCAGCUCUAAGUCAUGAGUAGGCUAAUUUUGCUCAUGAGGUCUGAGCGCUCUUGACACGUAGGCAAUGACUCGGUUGUCUUGCAUCAAAACACAACCCAGUACAGUGCCAGAGGCAUCACAAUACACAUCAAACGACUUGUUGCUGUCAGGCUGCGCUAACACAUGUGCUGUGGUCAGAUGUUGCCUCAAGGUGUGAAAGGCAUCUUCACAUUUCUGACCCCAUUCAAAUUUUGCUCCCUUUUUCAACAAUUAUGUCAUGGGUUUCGCAAUUUGAGAGAAAUCUGGAAUGAAUCGCCGAUAAUACCCGGCCAAUCCUAGAAAACUCUGAAUCUGACGAAUAGUUGUUGGCGGCUUCCAAUUCAUCACCUCUUGCACUUUAUCUGGAUCAACAAUUAUUCCUCCCUCAGAGAUAGUGUGACCCAAGAAUUUAAUCUCCUUCAGCCAAAUAUCACACUUAGACAAUUUGGUAUAAAGGCGAUGCUCCCUCAUAUUUUGGAGUACUGUGUGCAAGUGUUUGGCGUGUUCAGCUUCGUUCUUCGAGUACACCAGAAUAUCAUCAAUGAAGACCACCACAAACUUGUCCAAUUCAGGCAUGAAGACUGAAUUCAUCAUAUACAUGAAGUACGCGGGUGCAUUCGUCAACCCAAACGACAUCACCAAAUACUCAUACAUCCCAUAUCUGGUCGAGAAGGCAGUCUUUGGAAUAUCACUUGCUCGUAUCUUGAUCUGAUGAUAGCCGGAGCGAAGAUCAAUCUUGGAAAACACCUUAGCUCCAACCAAUUGGUCGAAAAGAACAUCAAUACGAGGCAAAGGAUACUUGUAUUUGAUAGUCACUGCAUUGAGUGGGCGGUAAUCUAUGCAUAAUCUCAAGCUCUCUUCCUUCUUCUUCAUGAACAGGACCAGACAUCCCCAAGGCGAAGUACUUGGGUGGAUGAAACCCUUGUCCAAGAAUUCUUGCAGCUACUUCUUUAAUUCUGCCAGCUCGGCGGGUGGCAUCCGGUAGGGCCUCUUGGAAAUAGGUGUCGUUCCCGGUUGCAAUUCAAUGGCGAACUCAAUAUCCCGAUCUGGCGGCAUUCCUAGCAACUCAUCAGGAAAGAGAUCUGCAUAAUCACAUAUCACUGGAAUUUUCUUCAAUGGUAGCUCUAUCAUGGAAAAAGCACAUGACCGAGUGGUUUCUUGACUAGGCAAAUAUGGUGAAUUUUCCACAGGUAGGGGAAUGGACUUCAACGAUGCGAUUGUCGACAUGUAACACUACUUGGUGUUGGGUCAUCCAGUUAGCUCCCAAAAUAAUAUCCACAUUAUCCAUCCCUAGAAUGAGGAGGGUGGUUUUGACAAUUUUGCUCCCCAAUUGAAUAGGCACAUUUCGAUUUAAUUGAUUGGUCACACUCUUGCCUCCCAACGUUGCAAUCAUGAAGGACCCUUGGGUAUGAUAGAAAGGCAGUUGACAUUUGACAUUGAAUUUCUGGCUAUUCAAGCUAUGUUAUGCACCAGAGUCAAACAGAAUCAAUGCAGGUUGAUUAAAAACGGAAAAAGUACCAGUCAUGAUGGGCGCUCCUUCAGGUAGCUCCUCCAGAGUAGUGAAGUUGAGCUUCCCUUGCUUGACUUGCACUUUCUGCUUCCUCCAUUUGUCUUGGUUAGGUGCUGGCAUCUGCCUUGGCUGAUUCUGCGGGCAAUUCUUGGCAUAGUGGCCUGCAUUGCCACACGUGAAGCAUUUGUUUCUCUUCCCUUGGUGGAACUGCUGCUGCUGGGUCUGAUUGUUCCUUGGAGCAGGAGCGGGGAAACGGUUGGGUACUUGCUACUACUGUGGCGGCCUAAUGACCCAUCUCCCUGCUUGAUGCUAGAAUCCCCUACUCUGACUGUUGGAGACAAUACGGAACCUCUGGGGUGGAGCUAAAGUUGCUGACAUUAGGGCCUUCCUCUUCUUCUCUACUCGGUGAGCUACAAUACAGUCUUCCUGUGAUAUGGCGAGGUUGACCAGUUCAUUGAAGCUGUCAGCCCGAACAAUGUUGAGGCAUUCACGAAGCUUGGUGUUGAGUCCCCUGCGGAAACGGUUUCUCUUCUUCUCAUCUGAAUUUGCAUGAUAACUCGCAUAUUGACAUAGGUCGUUGAAGGCCUGGGCAUACUGCAACACAUUGCGGGUUCCCUAAGUCAAUGCCAAGAACUCAUUGAGCUUGCGAUCUAGAAUCCCUGCUGGAAUAUGGUGUCCCAUGAAAGCAGUCUUUGCGUCGUCAAGGUAAGCUCCCGUGAGGAGUGGGAACUUGGACUCCACAACCCUGAGCCACACAUCGGCGUAUAGCGGGUCCUCUGCCUUGGUGAACAAGGGCGGUUGCGUGCUCAAGAACUCCUGGUACGUCGCCGCAGUCGGAGGGCGUUGCUGCUGGCCUCCACCAUACUACUGAGGGUGGGGUUGGCGCUAUAUCAGCUGCCGCAGAAUCUCAUUCUGCUGAGCCAUUAGCUCCUGCAUCGUGGGAGCUGGAGGAGGUGGUGGGGGAACCUGCUCGUUCUGCUCGCGAUGCUGCCUUGCUGCCAUCUGGAAACAAAAAUUUCGUCGUUGUUACCUUGAUUCACGAUUCCAAACAAUAUUCUUUAUAUAAUGUGGAGAAAAAUGACAUAUCAUAAUAUUGAACCAAACGAGGAUAACAUGCUUGCAUUCAUUUCACUGUCCACAAAAGUUUUUCCCGGGUUACAACAAUUUAGGGGAUCCACCCUUAAGCCUAGUCCAAAAAUUUGGUACCAAAACUAAGCUCGCGUGGUUUCCUAUCCUCCUAAUAUGUCAAACUAACCCGUCAACCCUGAGUGGUAGAGGCAACACUGGACGCAGGUGAAGGGGGUACUUCAGAUGGAGCUGCAUUUGGACCGGGAGCUGGCUCCAAUUCCUCGGGAUCCUCCUCUCCCUCACUUCCUGCCUCAUUUGCCUCCAUGUCUUGAUGGUGCAUCUCCAGGUGGUCAUUGGCUUCCUCAAGUUCCUCCUACACAUCAAGGAGCUGGAUCUCUAGGAUAUCGAUGGUGUUAUCCCGGAUCUCCACCUUCUGCUCUAGAGUCGCGAUGCGCUGGAUCAACUGUUCCACAUAUAGGUCUUUUUCCACCAAUUCCAAAGACAAGUCGACCAUGAAGUCCUCUCGACUGUCGAGAGUGAUCUUAGUAGUCUGAGCUAGAUCAGUGUAACACUAUAAAACCAUCAACUAAAAAUAAUGCAUUUAGUUAUUAAUGGUAAUUAUGGUAAUAAAUUUUUCAUUCAAGUGUUUGUUAUUUAUUUGCAUUUGGAAUAAUUUUUGUUUACUCUUGUUUGAUUUUGGAUAUUUAAUAGUGUUUCCUUAUUAAUGAAAAUCCAAUUAAAUAAAAUAAUAAUUAUUAGUCCAAAAAUAAAUAUUUUAGUUAUAAAUAAUUUUGGUACAAUUAUUAUGAAUUUUAGGGUUAUUUUAAAAUAUAUUUUGAAAUUAGAAAAGAAAUAGAAAAAAGGAAACUCUAGCCCUAACCCUAACGGCCCACUAAGGGCCCAUUAGCCGCGCCCCUCCCCUGCCCUAACCAGCAGCCGCCGCCGCCACCGUCUUCUUUCUCCCCCUCCUCUCUCUCUUACGCGCGGGCCCCACCCGGCCCCUCUCUUCUUCCCUCUCCCUUCCCCGACCGCGCAGCCACCAGGACGCCGCGCCCCGACCCCGGUCGAGCCCCGCGCCAGGACACCACCCCGCGCCCGAUGUCGUGCCGCCAGCCGACGCGCCGCGCCCAAGCUCCGCGUCCGAGCCACCCCGCGCGACGUCCCGCAGUCGUUCGUCUCCUCAGCGUAAUGGAGCUUCAACGCGACCAUUUCUCCCCUCCCCACUCUCUCCCCAUUGAUGCCGCCGCCAUCAAUGGCGUCUUGAAGAACCCGGUCGCCUCUCUCUCUCCCGACUUCCUCUCCUCUCCCCUCCUUCUCUCUAUAAAUACCGGCCGAGCUUCUCUGUCCCUCCUCCCUACCCGAGCUCGCCCCUUUCUCUCUCUCACUCUCCUCGCCAUUUGAGCCACCACCGCCAUCGCUGGAGUUCGCCAUGCCGUCGCCGGAGCUUAGUGGACCACGCAGCCCCGUCGGAGCCACCCGACGCCGAACCCCUUCUCUUCUCCACUCGACCGAACCCCCGUCGAACUUUCUCCCUUCACACGAGCAAGCUCAAGGUGGAAGACGACCCAAAAUAAUUUUAUGUAUUUUUGAAAUCACUUUUUGAUUUAGUUUAUGAAUUUUAUAAUCAUUGUGUUGUAAUAUGAGCAUGUUGUGAUUUGAAAUUCAUGCGUAUGUGCGCUAUGGAUUUUUGGUAGAUAUAUGCGAUAAAUUAGUGCACCAUUAUUAUUCAUGUUAUUUGUUUACGAUGACUUUUAGAAAGUUGGAUUAGAUAGAAGUAUGACAAAAAUGGAUAGACACAUGAUGGUGAUAAAAACGCUAGAUAGGUAAUUUUAUAGUUAAUUUUGUUCACAAUGAAUUUUGGAAAUUAUUUGGAAGGUUAUAAUCAUAAAUUCAUUUUAAUAGAUAAUAGAAGCUUUUCUUAACAUGGAAUUAGUAAAUGGUAUAGAAUUCAUGGUAAUAUAAAUAUUAUAGGUUAUUAGAUAAUUUAUCUCUGAUUAUUAUUAAUAAUACUUUCUUUUAGAAAGAAAAGAGAAAACUAAAAGAAUAUCACUAGUCGUAACAAAAAUAGGUUUUUACUAGCCAAAAUAAAGGUGUCCAUAAGAAUAACACUUAACAUCUUAGAAUUAGUGAAAUACUUGUUUAUGUCAAAAUAACCAUGUUUUUGUUAUAAAAAGCCCAAUUGGUGAUUUAUAUUGAUUCUUAGAAUAUUAAUGUUAGUAGAGUCAUGAAUGAACCAUUUUAGCUAUACGCAUAAGUUCUACUUAGUAAUAAAAGGGAUAAAAUUUAUUAGUAAUAAUUAGCAUUUAUUUUCAUAAAGAAUGUUAAUACAUGUUAUACUAGAUAAAACUAGUAUUAUAGCACUGACUCAUAAUUUCGUCAAUAAUGAUUCGCAGUAAUAGUCAUAAAUGAGUUAAUAAAUAUUUACGCUUUAAGACGUAUUUAUGAGUGUGAUAAGUGUGAUGUAUGAAUGUGAAUGUAAUGGUGAAUGAUUACCCUUGUACUGGUGUAUGUUUAUUUAUUUGGCGUACGUAUUCUUUUGUAUGUGCGAUAUGCAAAUCGAUGUUAGAAGUGGACUGUGAGUUAGACGAGCCUAACACGUUCGAGGACGACCUGCAGGACACGUUCGAGCAAGGCAAGUGGAUUCUCCAUCUGCAUAUUCUAUUUGUACCCAAUUAAUGCAUAUAAUAAUGUUUACUUUUUGGAUAUAUUGCAUAAUUUGAUGGGAUUUGCCUAAUUAAGGAUUUUUCUAGAUUUACCAACUGUAUUCCUUGAUUACCGUGGGAAAAUACUAUGCUUUGCAAAUUUGUGCUACCGCUCAACUUGAUAAUUUUGAUGUCACUCAUUAUUUGAUAUUAAUGCUCCAGAAAUGAAAUUGUCAUUAUGGUGUUAACCCGAUGGUUAAACAAGAUUAAUUCAUAUUAAUUGGAACAUGGAGUGACCACCCAGGAUAACAGUGCAACCACGAGUGCUAUCAUGGCUCUGGCUUUGGUAAUUAGCUUUAUAUGCUUAGUACCUAGCAACCUUACCUGAAAUAUGGGCAAGAGGGGGAGCGGCAGUGGUGGCAGCUCACGUUACCAUGGGGACAUAUUCUUGGCUAAGGUACCUCACCCAGAGGGCCUCCACACCGACUUGGAAACCUUAGCGGGUUGCUUUAUAUUAAGUGUAUUUUGUGAAAGCCUCAUAAUGGAUCCCUAGCCAUUCACCUUGGUAGUGUUUACGGGUCCGAUCAACCCAGGCUAGAUGGGAUACAUGGCUUGUGGGUAAAGUUGUACCACCUCUGCAGAGUGUAAAACUGAUAUGUCAGCCGUGCUCACGGUUAAGAGCAACCUGGACCCUCACAUGAUAAUUGAACUUAAAGAUGGACAAUAAAUCGAGAUCUGAUGAUCUACCAAUGGUUUGCUUAAGUGGUUUCACUUAAGUGUUUUUGUUAUACUCUUAAACCUUUGUUUAAUGGGAAUACUUGGGAUACACACUUAUUAGUAAGACGGGUGUUGUUAAUAAAAUAUUGAUCAACUAAAAUGCUUACAACUCAACCUUAGCCUCACCUUGUUAAACCUGCAUUAAUUUUCCCCCCACUUGCUGAGCCCGACCAUAAGUGAGCUCACCCUUGCAAAUAUUUUGAUCAUAGGGUGAUGAAGAAGACAUUGAUGGAGAUUUCGAUGAAUACUGAGUCUAACGAUGCGCCGGUCAUCUUCCUGUGGGAGGUCACCCAUAUUUAAUUCCGCCUUACUUUGAUGUUGAUACUUGUUAAAGAUACAAUGAUUUAGAUGAUGUAAUAAAGUACUCUACUCACUUUACGCCUUUAUUGCAUUGUCUUUUGAUAUAUUAC